GACGAACCGAGCGAACGUUGUUCGGAAUAACUGGGCUUAAAGGGCGCGUAGGCGGGCCGCCAAGUUCGAGGUGAAAUCCUCCGGCUCAACCGGAGAACUGCCUCGAAUACUGGAGGCCUCGAGGCGGGUAGGGGCACGCGGAACUGUGGGUGGAGCGGUGAAAUGCGUUGAUAUCCACAGGAACUCCGGUGGCGAAGGCGGCGUGCUGGACCCGAUCUGACGCUGAGGUGCGAAAGCGUGGGGAGCAAACAGG
Molecule: ribosomal RNA, 253 nt
Filed under: uncultured bacterium
Lineage: Bacteria
Description: partial 16S ribosomal RNA
Rfam family: Bacterial small subunit ribosomal RNA
Source: RNAcentral